AACCAGGGAGCAUAACAAGUUUUGCAGACCUGAAGAACAAAUUCAUUGCCCAGCAUUGUGGAAACACAAGAGUCAGGAAGGGCACUGAAUCAUUAUUCGCAAUCAAACAGAAUGGAGAUACGCUUCGGAAUUACACAACUAAAUUCACAGAAGCCAUGCAAAAAAACUCCGACCUAAACACAACAAUUGCGAUCUGCGCAUACUCAAAAGGGCUAGACAUGAACACACCAUUAGCAAUAAAGCUAAAUGUUAGUAAUGUGAAAUGCAUGGAAGACCUGCUAACAAAGGCCCAGAAGUACAUAAAUUCUGAGGAGUAUGAAAAAGAAAAAGAAAAAGAAA
Molecule: long non-coding RNA, 339 nt
Filed under: Zostera marina
Lineage: Eukaryota; Viridiplantae; Streptophyta; Magnoliopsida; Alismatales; Zosteraceae
Description: long non-coding RNA (ZMAR_LNC004924)
Source: RNAcentral